AUACGGAGGAUGCGAGCGUUAUCCGGAUUUAUUGGGUUUAAAGGGUGCGUAGGCGGGCUGUUAAGCGUGAGGUGAAAGCUCGGGGCUCAACCCCGGAACUGCCUCGCGAACUGGCGGUCUUGAAUGUCCGUGCCGUGGGGGGAAUGUGUGGUGUAGCGGUGAAAUGCGUAGAUAUGCCACAGAACGCCGAUAGCGGAGGCAGCUCGCCAGGCCGGCAUUGACGCUCGGGCACGAAAGCGUGGGGACCGAACAGGAUUAGAUACCCUGGUAGUCCACGCCGUAAACGAUGGGCGCUCGUCGUCGGCGGCAGACAGUCGGCGGCCAAGCGAAAGCGAUAAGCGCCCCACCUGGGGAGUACGGUCGCAAGGCUGAAACUCAAAUGAAUUGGCGGGG
RNAcentral lists this ribosomal RNA (393 nucleotides) under uncultured bacterium. RNAcentral's name for it is "partial 16S ribosomal RNA". It matches the Rfam family "Bacterial small subunit ribosomal RNA", at positions 523 to 918 of the family's 1533-position model. The record is from RNAcentral.